Myodes glareolus (Bank vole) is the source of this 387-nucleotide non-coding RNA. Lineage: Eukaryota; Metazoa; Chordata; Mammalia; Rodentia; Cricetidae. The record is from RefSeq and is a predicted model, not a curated record.
ACACACUCAAAAAAUUCUUGUGAGUUCCAGGGAGCUGAGUUGAAGGAUCCACAGAAUGCUGAGAGGAGACAGAGAUGAAGAGUGACAACGAAACACCCACUGGUCUUGGGCCAUCCAGUUGAUUCUUAUGAGACAUGAAGCCACCGACAACUGUGACGGAAGUUGAGCAAACUUCCACCUGACUUGACUUCUAAUUCGAUUUAUUUCUGUGUCCUGUGUGGAGUCGACGUGUCUGUAUUGGCCAAGGAGCCUAAAUGAAAUUGUGUACUGCUGUCCACUGUGGUUUGUUGCUGCUCUCUUCACAACAGCCAAGAAAUGAAGACAGCCAAGAUGCCCAUCAGCUGGUGAAUGGAUUUUAAAAUAUGUAGAGCAUUUGCAAAAUGAAAU